Molecule: ribosomal RNA, 381 nt
Filed under: uncultured eukaryote
Lineage: Eukaryota
Description: partial 18S ribosomal RNA
Rfam family: Eukaryotic small subunit ribosomal RNA
Source: RNAcentral
CAAUAGCGUAUAUUAAAGCUGUUGCGGUUAAAAAGCUCGUAGUUGGAUUUCUGUCAAGGACAACUGGUCCGCCCCUCGGGUGAGCACAUAGUUUGGUCUUGGCAUCUUGUUGGAAACUGUUGCUGCACUUGGUUGUGUGGCGCGGUGUCCAGCACUUUCACUUUGAGGAAAUUGGAGUGUUUCAAGCAGGCACAUGCCUUUGGACACAGUAGCAUGGAAUAAUUAGAUUGGGCUUUUGCUCCAACUUGUCGGUUUCUGGAGCUGAGGUGAGAAUUAAUGGGGAUUGUUGGGGGCAUCCGAAUUUAGCCGUCAGAGGUGAAAUUCUUGGAUCUGCUAAAGACGGACAACUGCGAAAGCGUUUGCCCAGGAUGUUUUCAUUGA